GUUGAGCGCUGAAGACUGGUACUUGUACCGGUUGGAUGAGCAGCCAUUAAGUGACUCACGCGUGGGUAACCUGCCCUAUAGAGGGCCUUUACUAGAGGAAACUUUAGCUAAUACCGCAUAAAAUCUAAUAACACAUGUUAUAAGAUUGAAAGUGCCAACUGGUACACUAUAGGAUGGACCCGCGUUGUAUUAGCUAGUUGGUGAGGUAAAGGCUCACCAAGGCGAUGAUACAUAGCCGACCUGAGAGGGUGAUCGGCCACACUGGGACUGAGACACGGCCCAGACUCCUACGGGAGGCAGCAGUAGGGAAUCUUCGGCAAUGGACGAAAGUCUGACCGAGCAACGCCGCGUGAGUGAAGAAGGUUUUCGGAUCGUAAAACUCUGUUGUAAGAGAAGAACACCAGUAAGAGUGGAAAGCUUACUGGCUGACGGUAUCUUACCAGAAAGCCACGGCUAACUACGUGCCAGCAGCCGCGGUAAUACGUAGGUGGCAAGCGUUGUCCGGAUUUAUUGGGCGUAAAGCGAGCGCAGGCGGUUCAUUAAGUCUGAUGUAAAAGGCAGUGGCUCAACCAUUGUAAGCAUUGGAAACUGGUGAACUUGAGUGCAGUAGAGGAGAGUGGAAUUCCAUGUGUAGCGGUGAAAUGCGUAGAUAUAUG
Molecule: ribosomal RNA, 656 nt
Filed under: uncultured bacterium
Lineage: Bacteria
Description: bacterial SSU rRNA
Rfam family: Bacterial small subunit ribosomal RNA
Source: RNAcentral